UUGGAGGGCAAGUCUGGUGCCAGCAGCCGCGGUAAUUCCAGCUCCAAUAGCGUAUAUUAAAGUUGUUGCAGUUAAAAAGCUCGUAGUUGAACCUUGGGCCUGGCUGGCCGGUCCGCCUCACCGCGUGUACUGGUCCGGCCGGGCCUUUCCUUCUGGGGAACCUCAUGCCCUUCACUGGGCGUGUUGGGGAACCAGGACUUUUACUUUGAAAAAAUUAGAGUGUUCAAAGCAGGC
This 234-nucleotide ribosomal RNA is filed under the name uncultured Glomus. Its description in RNAcentral is "partial 18S ribosomal RNA". It matches the Rfam family "Eukaryotic small subunit ribosomal RNA", at positions 548 to 785 of the family's 1831-position model. Lineage: Eukaryota; Fungi; Glomeromycota; Glomeromycetes; Glomerales; Glomeraceae. The record is from RNAcentral.